AUCUCCUACGGGGGGCAGCAGUCGGGAAUAUUGCGCAAUGGAGGAAACUCUGACGCAGUGACGCCGCGUAUAGGAAGAAGGUUUUCGGAUUGUAAACUAUUGUCGUUAGGGAAGAUAAAAGACUGUACCUAAGGAGGAAGCCCGGGCUAACUAUGUGCCAGCAGCCGCGGUAAUACAUAGGGGGCAAGCGUUAUCCGGAAUUAUUGGGUGUAAGGGAUGCGAAACCGGAAGAACAA
Molecule: ribosomal RNA, 236 nt
Filed under: uncultured bacterium
Lineage: Bacteria
Description: partial 16S ribosomal RNA
Rfam family: Bacterial small subunit ribosomal RNA
Source: RNAcentral